AGCAGCCGCGGUAAUUCCAGCUCCAAUAGCGUAUAUUAAAGUUGUUGCAGUUAAAAAGCUCGUAGUUGAAUUUCGGGAUCAAGGAAUCGGUCAUGCCUCGGUAUGUACUGGUUUUAUUGGUUCUCACCUUCUAAAGAACCAUGAUGUCAUUCAUUUGAUGUUAUGGGGAAUUAGGACUGUUACCUUGAAAAAUUAGAGUGUUUAAAGCAGGCUUACGCUUGAAUACAUUAGCAUGGAAUAAUGAAAUAGGACAUCAGAUUCUAUUUUGUUGGUUUCUAGGAUCGAUGUAAUGAUUAAUAGGGAUAGUUGGGGGCAUUAGUAUUCAAUUGUCAGAGGUGAAAUUCUUGGAUUUAUUGAAGACUAACUACUGCGAAAGCAUUUGCCAAGGAUGUUUUCAUUAAUCAAGAACGAAAGUUAGGGGAUCGAAGACGAUCAGAUACCGUCGUAGUCUUAACCAUAAACUAUGCCGACUAGGGAUCGGAUGAUGUUAAUUUUUAAUGACUCAUUCC
Molecule: unclassified non-coding RNA, 509 nt
Filed under: uncultured Glomus
Lineage: Eukaryota; Fungi; Glomeromycota; Glomeromycetes; Glomerales; Glomeraceae
Description: SSU rRNA
Rfam family: Eukaryotic small subunit ribosomal RNA
Source: RNAcentral